RNAcentral lists this ribosomal RNA (439 nucleotides) under uncultured bacterium. RNAcentral's name for it is "partial 16S ribosomal RNA". It matches the Rfam family "Bacterial small subunit ribosomal RNA", at positions 338 to 795 of the family's 1533-position model. The record is from RNAcentral.
CCUAGGGAUGCAACAGUGGGGGAUAUUGCACAAUGGGGGGAACCCUGAUGCAGCGACGCCGCGUGAGCGAUGGAGUACUUCGGUAUGUAAAGCUCUGUCAGGAGGGAAGAAAAUGACGGUACCUGACCAAGAAGCCCCGGCUAAAUAAGGGCCAGCAGCCGCGGUAAUACGUAUGGGGCAAGCGUUAUCCGGAUUUACUGGGUGUAAAGGGAGUGGAGGCGGGAAAGCAAGUCAGAAGUGAAAACUAUGGUCUUAACCCAUAGCCUGUUUUUGAAACUGUUUUUCUUGAGUGAAGUAGAGGCAAUCGGACUUCCUAGUGUAGCGGUGAACUGCGUAGAUAUUAGGCGGAACACCAGUGGCGAAGGCGGCUUGCUUGGCUUUUACUGACGCUGAGGCUCGAAAGCGUGGGGAGCAAACAGGAUUAGAUACCCCAGUAGUC